Molecule: ribosomal RNA, 1314 nt
Filed under: metagenome
Description: bacterial LSU rRNA
Rfam family: Bacterial large subunit ribosomal RNA
Source: RNAcentral
AGCUGGUACAUGGCCCGUACCCCAAACCGACACAGGUGGUCAGGUAGAGAAUACUAAGGCGAUCGAGAGAACUGUGGUUAAGGAACUCGGCAAAAUGCCCCCGUAACUUCGGGAGAAGGGGGACCAGUCCUGGUGACGACAUUUACUGUCUGAGCUGGGGUUGGUCGCAGAGACCAGAGAGAAGCGACUGUUUACUAAAAACACAGGUCCGUGCGAAGUCGUAAGACGAUGUAUACGGACUGACGCCUGCCCGGUGCUGGAAGGUUAAGAGGACCGGUCAGCCACUUCGGUGGCGAAGCUGAGAAUUUAAGCCCCAGUAAACGGCGGUGGUAACUAUAACCAUCCUAAGGUAGCGAAAUUCCUUGUCGGGUAAGUUCCGACCUGCACGAAUGGCGUAACGACUUCUCUGCUGUCUCAACCACAGACUCGGCGAAAUUGCAGUACGAGUAAAGAUGCUCGUUACGCGCGGCAGGACGAAAAGACCCCGGGACCUUCACUAUAGCUUGGUAUUGGUGUUCGGUUCGGUUUGUGUAGGAUAGGUGGGAGACUGUGAAACUCGCACGCCAGUGUGGGUGGAGUCAUUGUUGAAAUACCACUCUGACCGUAUUGGACAUCUAACCUCGGACCAUGAUCUGGUUCAGGGACAGUGCCUGGUGGGUAGUUUAACUGGGGCGGUUGCCUCCCAAAAAGUAACGGAGGCGCCCAAAGGUUCCCUCAGCCUGGUUGGCAAUCAGGUGUUGAGUGUAAGUGCACAAGGGAGCUUGACUGUGAGACGUACAUGUCGAGCAGGGACGAAAGUCGGGACUAGUGAUCCGGCACCGGCAAGUGGAAGCGGUGUCGCUCAACGGAUAAAAGGUACCCCGGGGAUAACAGGCUGAUCUUCCCCAAGAGUCCAUAUCGACGGGAUGGUUUGGCACCUCGAUGUCGGCUCGUCGCAUCCUGGGGCUGGAGUAGGUCCCAAGGGUUGGGCUGUUCGCCCAUUAAAGCGGCACGCGAGCUGGGUUUAGAACGUCGUGAGACAGUUCGGUCUCUAUCCGCCGCGCGCGUAAGAAACUUGAGGAAACCUGUCCCUAGUACGAGAGGACCGGGACGGACGAACCUCUGGUGUGCCAGUUGUUCCACCAGGAGCACCGCUGGUUAGCUACGUUCGGAAGGGAUAACCGCUGAAAGCAUCUAAGCGGGAAGCCUGUUCCAAGAUGAGGUUUCUCACCACCUAGCGUGGUUAAGGCCCCCCACAGACCAUGGGGUUGAUAGGCCAGAACUGUAAGCACAGCAAUGUGUUCAGGUGACUGGUACUAAUCGGCCGAGGACUUU